RNAcentral lists this ribosomal RNA (328 nucleotides) under Apis dorsata (giant honeybee). RNAcentral's name for it is "partial 16S large subunit ribosomal RNA". The record is from RNAcentral. Lineage: Eukaryota; Metazoa; Arthropoda; Insecta; Hymenoptera; Apidae.
ACGAAUUAAUGAAAUAAUAACUGUCUCUGAAUUAUUAAAUGAAUUUAAAUUUUUAGUUAAAAUUCUAAAAUUUAAUUAUGGGACGAUAAGACCCUAUAGAAUUUUAUUUAAUAUUUUAUUUAUUAAAUAAUUAUUAAUUUGUAAAUAAGAUAUUAAAUUUGAUUGGGAGGAUUGAUAAAUUAAUUAAACUUUAUUUAAUAUUUAAUUUUGAUUUAAAGAUAGAUAUUGAAUUAUAAUUUAUAAUUAACAGAGUAAAUUACCUUAGGGAUAACAGCGUAAUAUCUUUUGAUAGACCAUAUAGAUAAAGAUGAUUGCGACCUCGAUGUUG